UAAGACAGCAUGUGCAGGGAAUAUAUGUGCCUAGGUAGCCUUGGAGAGUUCUGUUAAACGUAAUAUCAAGAACAACUUCAACUGGAUUCUCAAGCACACAAAUCAAAUUAUCAGAAACCUGCAGCCUAGAAAGGUUGAAGAGAGAUGCUUAAGUCUUUUGCCAGUCGUCAUAAUAAUCUGUGAGGCCAUUCGAGGCUCUCACGCCUAAUCACCUUUCUAUGUCUGGGACCUAGAAUGGUGCUUUGCUCAGUGUGUUCUGGGUAAGUGCUUGUUGAAUUUCAUUGAAAAGUAUUUCAAGCUAGGUAAACAAGAUGAGGAAGAGGGGGAACAAAGACAGCUACUCCAACUGGUCCUCUGACUCGGUGGUGGUGCUUUAGCAGGGAUGGUGUUACUUUGGCCCAAGUUGGGGAGGAGGGUGUUUAGGAAAGGGGGAAACAUAAGUAACAAAGAGCAGCUGUUACUUUCAGGGAGGCUGUGAAAUGACUCGGGGUCAUGGGAGGAGGCCGUUAUGAACAGGGAAACACCCUGAGAACAAAGAAGAAGGAUUCGUGUUCGGGGAGACAGACACUGUAAUAGAGUGUUCUUUGUGACACCUUCAGAAUGAUCCUUUCAGAACUAGAAAUCUCUGUGGGAUAUCUCUGUCAAGAAGAAAUGCUCUCCCCAGCCUCCUUAAGAUGGAAAAUGGAGGCUCAGAGAGAUGAGGGAAACUCCUCAAGGUUUUACGAGAAAGAGCAGAACUGACACUCCAACUGACAGCUCCUGAAUGUUUCCGUCCUCACCUACCUGCUUGCUCACCAGAGAGAGUCUAAGUAUUCGCCCUGCCUUUGAGAUCCUCUGUGAAAUGGUCAGACACAUGUCCCCAGUGUCCUCCUUAGAUCCAGAUGAUACCACGUCAGACUACCUUCAGAAGCUUAAAGAUGUUUAACCCUUUCCAAGGCUUAUUGGUUUGCCUAAUCUUAUUAGCCUCCCUCUGUAAUGCCCAACAUGGGAUAUUGAAAUCCAUGUGCCUUCAACGUCACCUCUUCCAUGACCUUUCCCUGUUCUACCCUUGAGGUACCUGUGCUCCCUUAUGGAAGGUUUUGUCCGACACUUUAGUUCUUUCUCUGCUCCCUGAGAAGAGACAAUCUUAUCUGCUUCAUAAUCACCAGCAGAGUCUAGUAGGUAAGAGAUCACAGGAAGCACUUGUGGAAUGGAUGAAAGAAUUAGUGAAUAAUUUACACUUACACACAUUCUAAGUAAAUUUCAUUUCACUAGUUUAUGUGGGAAUCAAACAUGGGAAAUUGAUUACCUUAAUUCAAUGAGUGACCCCCAGUGAUACCUAAACACUAGUUUAUUGUGUUUGUUAGAAUUUAUCUUGCAGAAAUGUACUCAUUUUUUCAUAAUUUUUUUUCCUCUAUGAAACUAUUUUUUAUUGUGACAUUAUUUGCUUCCUGCUAUUUUUCCCCUAUUAAGAUAUCCUUUCUUUUAUGAAAUACCAGUGAAUGUACAGUAUGGUUGAGCUUUUGUAUAUCCUUCUUUGGUAAAAUGAAAAAGUUGAUAACUUCAUGUUCACUCCUAUCCAAUUCAUUCAUCAGGGGAAAUUUGGUUGCUUUAUGAAAUCCCAAAGUCUAGAGGCCACUGCUCUAACUGAACUAAGUGUUUUAACCUUGAUUAGCUUCUUAAACAAAACUGGCUCCUAAACAGCAUUUAGAAAAACGAAGCAGAAAUCUAGUAUUUUUGUGUAUCCUAGUUGCCAUGGAAAUAGUUAUUGUCAUGGUUUCAGAUACGUUGAUGUUUGACCAAGGCAUGAUUUUCAGGCUGACAGUUCCUUCUUUCACAGUGUCUGGAAAUGUCAGUUAAAUGUUCUAGGGCAUUAGCUAGGAGCACUGUUUAAACUUUUGUGGACUUCUUUUGAAAUAGAUUCUGAAUCCUCAGUGGUUCAUCCAAAGUGGUCAUUUUGUUCCUUUCAUCAUGACCUGUAGACAGCUGGGAAGAUACACUCUCCUUCUUUCUGGUAUCUGGUCUCUUUAGUUAGGACGCUAGGAAGAUUUUGAAUGUAUGACUUUGAUUAAUGCAAAUAAGGCAUGGAGGUUUCCUUUUCCUGAUUCAGUUUUCUCAUCUGUUCCCCAUCUUCCUCCUAAUUUUCUAGAUCAGAGAAAUGUAACUUCCUGUUUAGUUUCUUUGUUGUUAAUUUAAAGGUUCUGGAUAAAACUGGAAAAGGGAAAUUAUAGCUUGACAUUGAGAAUUUAAAAAAGGCAAAAGCUUGUGGCAUCCAAAAUGAUAUUCUGUGUGGCAUUUAGAUAACUCAGAAUGGUUUUUUUGCCAUGUGAGAAACAGUUUACUUUUAGGUUAUUCAAAAUGAAAGCUGGAAUUGGACAUAAAAGAAAAACAACAAAAGGCCUUAGUAGGUUAAAAAUGUGCUGAAAUAGUUUUUCACAGUUCCAAAAUAAAAAAGGUUUCUUUAAAAAUAGAAGUAAUAGGCCAGCGCUGCGGCUCACUAGGCUAAUCUUCCGCCUGCGGCGCUGGCACCCUGGGUUCUAGACCCAGUUGGGGCGCUGGAUUCUGUCCCAGUUGCUCGUCUUACAGUCCAGCUCUCUGCAGUGGCCCGGGAAGGCAGUGGAGGAUAGCCCAAAUCCCAUGGACCCUGCACCCGCAUGGGAGACCUGGAGGAAGCACCUGGCUCCUGGCUUUGGAUCAGUGCAGCGCCGGCCGUUGUGGCCAAUUGGGGAGUGAACCAACGGAAGGAAGACCUUUGUCUCUGUCUCUCUCUCUCUCACUGUCUAACUCUGCCUGUCAAAAAAAAAAAAAAAUUGUAAAAAUAGAAGCAGUAGAGGCAGGCAUUAUGGCCUAGCAGGUAAAGCCACAGCUUGGGAUGCUUCCAGCCCUGGCUCUUCUUCUUCCUACCCAGCUUCCUGCUAGCAUGCCUGGGAGGCAACAGGUCAUCUCCCAAGUACCUGGGUCUCUGCCACCUAUGUGGAGACCUGAUGGAAUCUUAGACUCCUGGCUUUGGCCUGACCCCGUCCUGGCUGUUGCAGGCAUUCGGGGAGUGAAUUAACAGAUGGAAGAUUCUCUCUCUCUCCCCCUGUUGCUCUUUCACAUUAAUUAAUUAUAUCUAUUAUGUAAGUAAUCUAAGAAAAGAAAAAGUGCUAUAGUGCUUUUACUAAUUCAUUUAAAGUCUGUUUACUUUCAUUUCUUACCAUAUUCUAAAAGAUUUUUUUUUAAAAGAUUUAUUUAUUUGAGAGAGAGGAAAGGCAGAAGCAGAAAGAAGAGAGAGAGGGGGGUCUUCCAUCCGAUGGUUCACUCCCCAGAUGGCCUCAACAGCUGGAGCUGUGCUGAUCCAAAGCCAGGAGCCAGGAGCUUCUUCCAGGUCUCCCACAUGGGUGCAGGGGCCCAAGGACUCAGCCAUCAUCCACUGCCUUCCCAGGCUAUAGCAGGGAGCUGGAUUGGAAGUGGAGCAGCCGGGUCCUGAACUGGCACCCAUACAGGAUGCCAGUGGUUCAGGCCAGGGCAUUAACCCACUGUGCCACAGCACUGGUCCCAAAAGAUAUUUUGGUACAUUAAGUUAGUGAGCAUAAUUAGACUAAAAACAACUAUUUGUAAAUAGAAUCAGGAAAAAUAUUUGUUGUUUUUACAUAAAAUUGGAAAUCUAAAAACUGGGUGUGUUUGGCCUCACAAUUAGCCCUUAAGGCAUUUGGAUCUGGCUAAAAAGCCCAUGGCAUGGAAAGCCAAGACACUUUGGCAAAAAAUGACCUAAAUGAAAGAUCUCUAUGAGUGAGAGAUCCCAGUGGAAAGAAGGGGCCAUUGAAAAAGGAGGAACCUUUCUCUGAAGGAAGGAAGAAACUUCCACUUUGACUAUAGCCUUUUCUAAAUAAUAUUGGAGUUUGUGAACUCAAGAGGCUUCCAUAGCCUUGGCAGCUUAUGACAAGAGCCUUGGGUGAUUACUGAUGCCAUAAAUAAUAGUGUCAAUUGUUAAAUCAACAACGGGAGUCACUGUGCACUUGUUCCCCAUGUAGGACCUCUGUCUUUAACGUGUUGUACUAUGAGAAUUAACGUUAAAACUAGUCUUCAAACAGUACUUUAUACUUUGUGUAUCCGUGUGGGUGCAAACUGUUGAAAUCUUUACUUAGUAUAUACUAAGCUGAUCUUCUGUAUAUAAAGAUAAUCAAAAAUGAAUCUUAAUGAAGAAUGGGAUGGGAGAAGGAGUAGGAGAUGGGAGGGUUUGUGGGUGGGAGGGUGGAUAUGGGGGGAAGAAUUCUAUAAUCCAAAAGUUGUACUUUCAAAAUUUAUAUAUUAAAAGUUUUCUAUAAAAAUAAUAAAAUAAAACGGUCCAAUUUAAAGAAACUGCAGUUUCCCUGUUCAAAUAAAUAUUAAUAUCGUUCAUUAAAAAAAAACCUGGGUGUGUGCAAAUAGUAAACUAUCACACCCUAAGUCUUGUAUGUCAGUCUUAACAUAAAGGGGUGACCUAAGCAGUCUACACCUGUACAUCAUUACCUUCCAUGAGCCAAUUAGUAGUCUGGUUAAGUUUUUAGGGUGAUCCUAGGAAUGGGAGAUGGAGCCGAGAUGUGAGGGCGGAAUUGGACAGGAGGUGGUAGUAGAUACAGCCUGUUCCCAGAUCUUAGCCAGCUUUUCUCUUCUUCUUCUUCUUCUUCUUUUUAAUUAUGCUUUCUUCAUCAGGAAAAGAGAAAGUGUACAUAACAGGAAACCCUGUAUCAAUACAAAACAAAACAAUGCAUCCUUCUAAUUACAAUUGAGUGUGUUUUUAAAAUAUUUUAAAAUGGAAUUUGAAUAUGUUUAUUGCCUUCUAUUUUGGGUAGAAAAAGCAUGUCAUACAUUGAUUUAGCAUGGCCCUGGGAAAUACACAAAGCAGAACUAAGAAGCAUUUUCUUGGCCAGCGCCGUGGCUCACUAGGCUAAUCCUCCACCUUGCGGCGCCGGCACACCGGGUUCUAGUCCCGGUCGGGGUGCCGGAUUCUGUCCUGGUUGCCCCUCUUCCAGGCCAGCUCUCUGCUGUGGCCCAGGAAGGCAGUGGAGGAUGGCCCAAGUGCUUGGGCCCUGCACCCCAUGGGAGACCAGGAUAAGCACCUGGCUCCUGCCUUUGGAUCAGUGCAGUGCGCCGGCCGCAGCGGCCAUUGGAGGGUGAACCAACGGCAAAGGAAGACCUUUCUCUCUGUCUCUCUCACUGUCUAACUCUGCCUGUCAAAAAAAAAAAAAUUAAAAAAUUUUAAAAAAAGAAGCAUUUUCUUAUUCGCGGUCCAUCUCUGAGGACUACAUCGUGAGCUGCUCCCUGGAAUUGAAUAUUCCUGGCAGCAGGCAGGCACCGCCUUCAUUUCUCAAUUUUCUGCUCUCAGCAUAGGCAGCAGUUCACCAUUUUCCUCCGUGUGCAGGCCUCCCGCAAGCCCGCCGGUCCCAGGCCGCUGUGUCCUGCUGGCCCGGCCUCGCCCUCCGGUGCUUGGACGCCAGUCCCACCCAGGGCUUCCAGAAUCUCUCUGCUGAGCCCGCAUUUUGCUUCCUGUUUGUUUGCUUUCAUGAGGAGCAGCACACGGCGCCUCUCCUCCAACUGGGGGCCGUAGGGCAGACGGCCUGUAGCUCAUCUCCUGCUUCCAGCGCUGUCACCUGUUCAUCUGAGACGUCAGAACCUGCAGGCAGGGUGCCGGGGCGGGGGUCCUCCCCCAGACGCCUUCGCUGACUUGUGGUCAACGCUGGGGCACGUGCGUUUCAGGAAUUCUGAGAAUUCCUGAGAAACAGAAAGGUGGGAACAGAACUGUCCUAUUUUUCUGACGCUUCAGGAACGGCUUCUGCUUCGAACCCCACACAGGUCCUUUGGCCAGCGCCGCCAUGGCGUCGUGCGUCCACGCACCUGCAGACUCCCGGGCCCCAGAAAUGGACCACAGUGAGGGCGCAGCUCAGAGGCGCCGCAGCUCCACGGAUAGCGGGGCUGAGCUAACCACCCCUGCCCGGCGCCAGACAGGAGCUGCAUUUUUUAUAUUUAAAAUAAUUUUUAAAUUAAAUUUUUUCUAGUGGUGGAAGCAAUCUACAUCCAUUUGUUUAAUUCAGAAAAUACAGGAAAGAAAAAGGCAGAAAUAAACACCUUUAAUUUCAUCACCCAGAGGUGACCUUAGAAUAUCCUGCAUUCGUUUGUAACAAAAAAUUGUAUAUGACAUUUGUAACAUUUCUUUUACAUAUUAAUGUCCUUUUAUAUAAGUAAAUAUUCAUCUAAAACACCAAUUUAAUGCACAACAGAAUUUUGUUCUAUGACACAUCUUAAAAAUUUUAAUCAAGUCCCUGUUAUAGUAUAUUUUUGUUACUUCCAUAUUUAUUUUCUGUUUAAAAGAUUUAUUUAUUUAUUUGAAAGACAGGAUUGGGGCCGGUGCUGUAGGUGUAGCAGGUAAAGCCACCGCCUGCAGUGCUGGCAUCCCGUAUGGGAUUGCUACACUUGCAAUCCAGCUCUCUGCUAUGGCCUGGGAAGGCAGUGGAAGAUGGCCCAAGUACUUAGGCCCCUGCACCCACCUGGGAGACUCGGAGGAAGCUCCUGGCAUCAGAUCGGCACAGUUCCAGCCGUUGUGGCCAUCUGGAGAGUGAACCAGCAGAUGGAAGACCUCUCUCUCUCUCUCUCUCUCUCUCUCUCACUCUGCCUCCACCUCGCUGUAACUUUGCCUUUCAAAUAAAUAAAUCUUAAAAAAAAAAAAAAAGGACAAGGUUACAGAGACACAGAGAGAAAGAGAGAUCUUCCAUCCACUGGUUCACUCCUCAGAUGGCCUCAGUUGCUGGGCUGGGCCACUCUGAAGCCAAAAGCCAGGAACCAGGAGCUUUACCCGGGUCUCCCACAUGGGUGCAGGUGCACAAGCACUUGGGCCAUCCUCCACUGCUUUCCACGGCCUUAGUAGGGAGCUGGAUUGGGAGUGGAGCAGCUGGGACUCCAACCAGUGCCCAACUGGGAUGAUAGUGUUGUAGGCGGCAGCUUUGCCUAACACUGGCUCCCUGCAUUGUUAUUUUAAUUUGUAUUGUUAAUUGCGAAGUAAGAAUAAUAAAGAUUUCUUCAGAAUUUUAUUUGCUAUUUUCUGUUAUGGGAGCAUAUUUUUAUUUUUCUGUUAGAGUUUUCCUAUUAUGUGAUAGUAAAUAUAUUGUAUAUUAAAUAUAUCAAGUCCUUGUUGAUCAAAUGCAGUCAUUUUUCCAAGUUCAUCAUAUUUCUAUGUUUGUUAAUUGUAGCACGUUGGGUUGUGUCAGUUUUUCUAUAGUCAAGUCUAUCAACCUUUCCUUUUACACUUUCUGCUUUAGAUGUCAAUCUUUGAGAAGUCUUUCCUCCACCGCCACCCCUGGGAAGGUUAUGUAAAUGAAUAUAUAACUAUAAUGACAGUAAAUGAAUGUAUUGUCACAGCUCUUUCGUCUCCAGAGAUACUUAGACUUUACUGUUUUGAUCUCAGUAACAUUUUUACUUUGUAGUCUAAGAUAAGCAUUUUUAUCAGAAUUAUACCAAUAAUGUUGAUUCUGAAGUUAGUAUUUUUCAGAAUGUGUGCCAUUUAGGCUAAUUUUUAAAUUAUAUUCUUCUCUGCAGUUAUGGUACUCUCAUUUUUCCAUUUUCUUUUGCUAUCUUAUUGAGAAUAUUGUUAACUUGGAUUUAUUCUUUUCUAUGCAAAUUUACAACAAAUAUUUUAAAAAUUUUUUUUUAAGAUUUUAUUUAUUUUAUGUGAGAGGUAGAAUUACAGAUAGUGAGAGGGAGAGCCAGAAAGGUCUUCAAUCCGCUGGUUCACUACCCAAAUGGCUGCAAUGACUGGAGCUGCACUGAUCCAAAGCCAGGAGCCAGGCGGUUCUUCCUGGUCUCCCACAUGGGUGCAGGGGGCCCAAGGACUUGAGCCAUCUUCUACUGCUUUCCCAGGCCACAGCAGAGAGCUGGGUUGGAAGUGGAGCAGCCGGGACUAGAACUGGCACGCAUAUGGGAUACGGACACCACAGGUGGAGGAUUAACCCACUAUACCAUGGCGGCGACCCCAAAGAUUUGAUUUUUAAUGCAGUUUUUGUCUACUUCAAGUUCUUUUAUUUAUGUAUUUAUUUAUUUAAAAGAACCACAGAGAGGGACAGAAAGAGAGAGAGAGAGAGAGAUCUUCCACCCCCUGCCACAAUGGCCAGAGCUGAGCCAGGCCAAAGCCAGGAGACAGGAGCUUUUUCUCGGUUUCCCAUGCUGGAAGCAGGGCCCGAAGCACUUGGGCCAUCUUCACUGCUUUUCCCAGACCAUUAAGCAGGGGGCUGGAUCAGAAGUGGAGCAGCGAGAACUUGAACCAGUACCCAUAUGGGAUGCCAGCAUUGCAGGCAGUGGCUUUACCCACUAUUCCACAACGCCGGCCCCUGUCAGCUUCAAAUUCGAACCGCAAGAUCUUCUGCUAUUGUUUUCAUUUGUGGUUAUUAACAUUUGAUUUUCCUGAGAAAUAUUUUUAUAGCUCUAAUUUUGUUUAAAAGAUGUGACUUUUUGGGCAAAACUUUUUAUCUUCUACAAUUUUUGCAAUGUACAAUAUCUUUUAAAAUUUUAUAUGGAUUAUUUUUAUUUAUUUGAGAGACAUAUGGACAGAGUUUCCAUGCUGGUUCACUACUCUAAUCCCAUCACAGCAGGGACCAGGCCAGGCCAAAGCUGAGAGCCAGUAACUAACUCCAGGUCUCCCAGAUGAGUGGCAGGGGCACCAGUACUUGAGCCAUCAUCCAAGAUAAACAUUAGCAGGAAGCUAGAAUCUGGAGCCAGUGUUGGGACUUGAACCCAGGCACUCUGAUAUGGGAUGUGCGCAACAGCUGCACCAUACGUCUGCCCUGUGUAUGGAUUAUCUCUGCUGGCAUUUUUAUUAGAGAUUGGGUACAAGAUGGAGGGGCUGCAGGCUGGUGCUGUCACACACACACGAGAACAGGGAAUCAGACCCACAAAUUCAUUGAUAUUUUCUUCAUAAAGAGAACCGAAUUCCUCAUCCCUUGAGUGUCAGCUGGAUUAAGGUUCUCAGUUCCAGUGAAUAGGAGAAAACAUAAGGGACAGUGUCCAUCAACUAGCCUUUGGAAAUUGCAGCUUCUUGCUUUUCUCUCAGCUCACGUGCUGUGGGAAAAUCCUGCUGCCAUGCUGGGAGGACACUUGAGUAGUCUGUGAGGAGGUACCCUUGGUCAAGCAGUGAGGCUUCCUGCCCACAGCCAUGCAAGUGAGCUGUAUUGGAAGCAAAUCCCCAGUCCCUGUUGGAGUUUCAGAAGCCUGCAGCCGGGGCCAGGGCUGGUGUCCAGUAUGGGUGCUGGUUCAAUCCCAGCUACUCCUCUUCCAAUCCAGCUCUCUGCUAUGGCCUGGAAAGCAGUGGAAGAUGCCCCAAGUACUUGGGCCCUGGUACCCACAAGGGAGACCCAGAGGAAGCUCCUGGCUCCUGGCUUUGGAUUGGCCCAGCUCCGGCUGUUGCAGCCAUUUGGGGAGUGAACCAGCAGAUGCAAAACCUUUCUCUGCCUCUGCCUCUCUAUAACUGUUUUUCAAAUAAAUAAAAUAAAUGUUUAAAACAUAAAAUAGUCAAAUUAGAUAUUUGACUUUUCUUGAUGAAGAGAACACAAAGAAUGUCUUGUGCCAGAAACAAAAUUUGCUGACAGGGAUGGGAUGAACAGCUGAAAAUACAAAAGGCUAAUUUGCACUGCUUUUCAAAGAGUUUGUGUUGGGGUGGCAAGAUUGCUUGCAGAGUUGUCCAUUCUUCUUAUAACUCAAAUAAUAUUUAUAAGACAGGCUGUAGUUGUAGUUUAUGUAAAGAUUAGAUUUUCCAUUUGUUUCUUUACUCCUGCUCUUCACAUCAAUAAAACGUUUGUUUCUUUUUUUUUUUUUCACUAGACUCUGAGCAGCUGUAAUAUGUUUUUGGUUUUUAAAAAAUAUUUAUUCAUUUACUUGAAAGGCAGAGCUAUAUAGAGAGAGGCAGGGAGAGAGAUCCUCCAUCUGCUGGUUCACUCCCCAAAUGGCCACAACAGCUGGAACUGGAACAGACUGAGGCCAGGAGCCAGGAGCAAGAAGCUUCCUCGGGGUUUCCCACGUGGAUGCAGGGUCCCAAGCACUUGGGCCAUCCUUUAAGGCUGCUUUCCCAGGUGAAUCAGCAGAGAGCUGCAUUGGAAGUGAAGCAGGCGGGACUUGAACCAGUGCCAAGAUGGGAUGCCAGCGUCACAGGUGGCUGCUUUACCCGCUAUGCCAUAAUGCCAGCCCCUAUAAUAAGUUUUCUGUCUGGAGGUAAUUUCUUUCCCUGAAUGAACUAUUUUUCAUCAGGCAUUUCCAACGGAAUUAUUUAAGUGGAUAGCACAUCAUUUUAUGGAGUAAUUACGUGUGAUUAAAGCAAUAAAGCCUCUAAAUGUUGUGUUAUGGUAGGACCUCAUUCUAGCAUGAUACUCCAAGAGCCAUCUCCUCUGAGACAUGGUAACUAUGACAAAGUUUUGAACUCAUGCUUAUCCUGUAAGUUGCAUACUAAGCUAGCACUUCUCCCCCAAAUAGAAUUCCAACGUUAAAAAAUGUUGCUGCCUUAAUUUUAAAUUUCGUAAUUAAAAUUAAAAGCAGCAUUCAGUUUAGAAAAAUCAUUUCCACUCCUCCUUGCUCCAGCUGCAAAAAAGCAAUUGUAAUUCAAAGGACUGUAUUGUGUGACCUCAGACAUUCCAUGGGGCUGGAGAAAAUGCUGGGGAAAACAAUGCAGGGAAUAGGAGGGGCCCGGGGACUUCAGAGCCCGUGUUCAUCCUCCAGUUUAGCAGCACGGUAGUGCUUCUUCACAUUUCAUGGAAUUUUUUUUUAAUUUACAGGAUAUUUUUGGCAUUAUUUUUGAAAGUGUAUUAAUUAUUGCAGUUUAGAACAUUAAGUAAUUUUUUUUUCUACAGAGUUUUUUUUUUUUAAUCCCAAAAUGAUUUAUUAGGACCCCAGGUAAUUUUCUUAGGAGAACUGCUCUGAAAGAACACAAAUUAGCACACUUUUUCCAAGUGAAUGUCUUAGUUCUUGCUGGAUUCCAAAUGGAACCAAAACUGCAUUAUGUAACAAAUGCUCGCCCAGAGUAUGACUGGAUUUUAAUCAAAGGUCUCAUUGAAAUGCCCACUUCCUAAUUGCAUCCUUUCCCCAAAAAGAGUGAGAACACAACUUACGAAGGGAGAAAAAUCAGGCUCUACAUAAAAUGUUUGAUUUGCUUUCACUUAGUAUGUGUUUGUUUUCAGAAUUUGUGAAAAGUAAUCCUUUGACACAAAAUUGUAUGACGAAUAAAGUGUUCCAGCCAAGUUAUAAAUCUCAGUACCGGGAGGUUUAAAUGGCAAGUGUUGGGCAGGACGGGACCCUUGCUGCCCCACAACUCUGCUCAAACAAAGGCACAUUCAUGAGCCUAGCUAGCCACUUGACGCUGGAGUCUGUCACCAGCUGCACAGCCAGGGUUGCUAGUGAAGUUCUUCAGGAAAACUCAAGGGCAUGGAAAGGAACAGGGGCGAGUGCACCUGGCUUCUUCCUAUGCAUGGGACUUCCUGUAGACCAAAUAUGAUUCUGACACACAUGUUUCAUUAGAAAAUAACAUGCUUUCACAGUUUAACAAAACUAAGAAACUUCCAGUUCAGCAUGUCACACAACCAAAUGUGUAACAGGGAAUGUUUUGUUGGAAAGACAGAAACUAAAAUAGUCUUAAGAGUGGAUUAGUAUAAUCCACUCCCAAAUCCCCAUCUAUGGACUCCCCGUAUCACUUGCCUAUUAACAUACCUAAAACAGAAAAGCAAACCCUGAGAGCCUCUUUCAAAAAGGUUUCAAAACAGGAGCAGGCAUUUCACCCAGUGCCUAAGGCAUCUGCGUUCCAUAUCAGGGUAUCUGGGUUUGAUACCCUGUUCUGGCUCCAGCUUCCUGUUAAUUCAGACACUGGGGAGCAUCAGAUGAUGGCUCAAGUGCUUGGGUUCCUGUUACACAGUCGAAGGCCUGGCCUGAGUUCUCAGCUCUGUUGUGAGCAUUUGAGAGGUGAACCAGCAGAGGUGAUCUCUUUCUUUCCCUUUGUCUCCCCGCCUCUUGAAUAAAGAAAUAAUUAAAAAAAAAAAAAAAACAGAA
Molecule: non-coding RNA, 12012 nt
Organism: Oryctolagus cuniculus (rabbit)
Lineage: Eukaryota; Metazoa; Chordata; Mammalia; Lagomorpha; Leporidae
Source: RefSeq, a predicted model, not a curated record